Non-coding RNA from Pelobates cultripes (western spadefoot toad), 314 nucleotides. NCBI's taxonomy places the organism in Eukaryota, Metazoa, Chordata, Amphibia, Anura, Pelobatidae. The record is from the annotation of a GenBank genome assembly.
GUUCACGAACGGUUCGCGACAUCUCUAAUGUUUAAAUCUUCAUUUAUUGCGAAGGAUAAAUCGACGGUUCAGCUCCUCUAGGGAGCUUUCAUCAGGACACAUCUUUAGAAUUAUUGCUACAUUAUUUUGUCUGGCUUUUAUAACUCGCUAAUAGGGUUUCUUUUGAAACUUUGUUUCCUUUUUGUUGUAUCACACUGUUAGAAUGACCACUUAGAUCAGCUGUGCAUUAUCUGCACAAAGUAGUCACAAAGUGUUGCUAAGGUUGAAUGUUUCACAGAUACACUAAACAAUAUAUGGUGUUUAUAUUUUCUGUG